GUAAAGUACUAGAGUGUUUAAUUCUAAGUAGAUAUUAUUUAUCUUAUCAUUUAUAUUCUUAAAAUACUAAUUAUCUCUCAUGUACUGAAAGACUGACUAUAAACGUGUUGUGAACCUACCCUAUCCCUACUUCAAAUUUCUCAAUUUUAACUGAGUUUCUCAAUUUAAAGAUGUGAAUUUGGAUGGUAUUGUACCUAUCUAUUUUCCUGAUAUUAAACUCGUUAAGUGGACGAAUACAUAAAUGGCCUGUUUUCAAAAGAAGCCCUUGAACAGCCUUGUGAUGAAAAAUUACCUGAGGGAAUGAGAAUGCCUGCAUGGUUUGACGAGAAACAAUAUAAUAAAGCACGUCGCUUCUACUGGGAACAAUGUUUUCAGUUCACCUUGUCCAUGAUACUGGGUCUCGUAGCAGUCUUCGCCGUGCCUUCGAUCCUGCAAGUGCUCAUUAGCUCCCGUCCCUCAAACUCUACUUUCACAGCGUACAGAAGAUACGUAUCCACGCUACUGCACACUGUUUCUUGGUUCGAACAUGAUUUGGAACCUGGGAGUGUGUAAGUUAUCGGGGAAAAUUUGUCAAUCACAGAUUACCGGAAUAACAGGCUUUCAAUAACA
Maniola jurtina (meadow brown) is the source of this 609-nucleotide RNA transcript. RefSeq lists it as uncharacterized. The record is from RefSeq and is a predicted model, not a curated record. The transcript has 3 exons. Lineage: Eukaryota; Metazoa; Arthropoda; Insecta; Lepidoptera; Nymphalidae.